UUGCUUCGGCAGCAAGUAUACUAAAACUGGAACAAUACAGACAAGAUUAGCAUGGCCCCUGUGCAAGGAUGACACGCAAAUUUGUGAAGCGUUUAAUUAAAAA
Small nuclear RNA from Callithrix jacchus (white-tufted-ear marmoset), 103 nucleotides. The record is from Ensembl. Lineage: Eukaryota; Metazoa; Chordata; Mammalia; Primates; Cebidae.